CUUUCACUAUGUCAGACAGUCGUCUCACUAUUGUCACUUUUAGAAAAUACCUCAGUCUGACAUUGGCACCAAUGUAGGAUUCAUAUGGCUUCUCAACCUGCAUGAAUUCAAAGUCAUAGCUUCUGCUCUGGGUCAGCUCUCCAGGUAAGGCGAGUUCCUUCACUAAGUUGACAAAUUCAUGCGUAUUGCUCUUGUCAUUGAAGAGCUCAAUUUGUCCUACAAAUUCAAUUCUAAUUCCUUGGUGCUCUAAUCUCUU
RNAcentral lists this long non-coding RNA (256 nucleotides) under Gallus gallus (chicken). Lineage: Eukaryota; Metazoa; Chordata; Aves; Galliformes; Phasianidae. The record is from RNAcentral.